UACGUAGGGGGCUAGCGUUGUCCGGAAUCAUUGGGCGUAAAGAGCGUGUAGGCGGUCCGGUAAGUCCGUUGUGAAAGUCAGGGGCUCAACCCUUGAAUGCCGGCGGAUACUGUCGGGCUAGAGUCCGGAAGAGGCAAGUGGAAUUCCCGGUGUAGCGGUGAAAUGCGCAGAUAUCGGGAGGAACACCUCUGGCGAAGGCAGCUUGCUGGGACGGUACUGACGCUGAGACGCGAAAGCGUGGGGAGCAAACAGG
Molecule: ribosomal RNA, 253 nt
Filed under: uncultured bacterium
Lineage: Bacteria
Description: partial 16S ribosomal RNA
Rfam family: Bacterial small subunit ribosomal RNA
Source: RNAcentral